AACCCAAAUGUGUCCACUGAAUUUCCCCUAUCAGAACUUGAUCAGGAACUUCAUAAGAACGAUGUUUAAAAGCUAGACAACAUGAAAGCAUUUUGGCAACUUUUUUGUUGGAUAGGAGAGUAAAAUCUUUAUCUUUAGAAGGAUGCUCACUACUAACAACAAAAGGUUUGGAAAUUCUGUGUAACCUUCGGCACCUACAUGUGAUUCUUCCUUGUAACAACUUUGAGUAAAAUUCUGUGUAACAAAUUCAAAAUUUGAGUAAAAUUUGCUUGUAACAACUUUUUAAUUUCGGUUAUAAAGAGAGAUUAUUAUAAUA
Molecule: long non-coding RNA, 316 nt
Organism: Mangifera indica (mango)
Lineage: Eukaryota; Viridiplantae; Streptophyta; Magnoliopsida; Sapindales; Anacardiaceae
Exons: 3
Source: RefSeq, a predicted model, not a curated record